AUUUUAUAAAUAUUGAUUCAAAUACAUCCACCAUAUAACCCAAUUCUAAAAUAAAAUCCGUUAUGUAAUUUCUUACCCGUCCCAUGAUUUUUUUUUUAAAGUAGUAAUUUUUAAAAUUUAAGAAUUAUUUUUUAUAUAUAAAAGCUUUGCAAAUUGUAUCAUUCUCUAAUACAUUUAUAUUUUAUAGUUUAAUUUUAUAUAUAGUAAUAUUAUACAUACCACAUAACAUUUUUGGUUUUAUAUAAUCUUUUCUAAAUUAGGAUGAUUUGAUAUGUUUAAUAUUAGUAGUUUUAAAAAAUAAUAAAUUAAAGAUUUAACCCGUAUUGAAACGGUGGAUUAGUUAUAUUUUACUUUUUUAUUAAUGUUGAUUCAAAAACCCGUCCCUUCAAAUCCGUCUUCCAAAAAGCAAUUUAUUUUAUUAAUAUUAAUUUUAUUAAUGAUAUGACUCUGAAUUAUAAUCUAAACAUUUUAACUAAUAACAUAGGAGUGCACCAUAUUUAUUCAAUAGGAAAAUGUAUCAUAUGACCUGAAUGCACUUUUACCCAAAUCCACCAAAAAAGCAAAUAUAUUAGUUAGCUUAAAUUUGUUAAAGAAUACAAAUUGAAAAAGUAUAUUACAUUUUAUUCGAAUAUAGUAUCAAAACUUAUAUAACACAGAGAUUUGAUAAUUUUUUAAUUGUUGAAUACUUUUUGUUUUGCUAAUUUUUAUGUGAUUAAGAUUUAAUUAAUUUCGUAUAUAAAAUAUUAAAUUAUUUUACGAACUUAUUUGUUUAUAAUUUGGUAACAGAUAGAUAUUUGAAUAUUCAAUAUAUUUUGCUUCAGUUUAGGAAAUAUUUGAUGACCCAUCUUUAGAUCCAAUAAGCCCUAUAAUCUAGAUAUUAACCUGCUGUAUACCGCAGGUAGACUUAUAUUUUAGUUAAACUAAAAACUUUUAUUGUAAAGAUGAUUUAAAAAUAUAUGAUAUUAUUUUAUUUGAUUUUAAAUGUAUAUUAAACUGUGAGUUGUAUAUGUUUUGUUAAUAUUAUGUAUAUUGUUUAGUGUUUAAGAUUAUACACUUGUAGUUUGAUUGCUAAUUUAAGAGUUUCACCUGUAGUAUACCAUCUUGUAUUAAUAUCGAUCUAAACCCGUCAAUUCUAAGAUUUUCCAGCUUGUAUUAAAAAUUGAAUCACAUCAUACAUAUAAGAAAAUCUAAUAUGUUUUUAAUUAUUGUAGUAUAUAAGAUUAUAAAUUUUCAAUAUAAUAUGUAUGAAAUUGAAUAUAAAUAUUUCAAAUUAUGACCCGUUACUCAGUAGAAAGUUUUCUUAAAUCUAUUUUCACCCGUUAUAAUAUUUUUUCAUGUAUUGAACAGUUUAUAUUCGUUUUUAAAAAAUCAAAUUAUGGCAUAUGCGAAAAAACUCUAAUUAUUUUUUAUAAUGAUGAUAUUAUUUUUCGCAAAAAUAGAAUCAUAUAAAGAUGAGAAGUGAACUAUAAUAAUUAAUAAAAAAUUAAUAUGAUAAUUUAGAUAUCAAAUCUAAUUUGUU
RNAcentral lists this small RNA (1519 nucleotides) under Arabidopsis thaliana (thale cress). Its description in RNAcentral is "ATSL052400". The record is from RNAcentral. Lineage: Eukaryota; Viridiplantae; Streptophyta; Magnoliopsida; Brassicales; Brassicaceae.